AUUGAACGCUGGCGGCAUGCCUUACACAUGCAAGUCGAACGGCAGCGGACCUUCGGGUGCCGGCGAGUGGCGAACGGGUGAGUAAUAUAUCGGAACGUACCUUUCAGUGGGGGAUAACGUAGCGAAAGUUACGCUAAUACCGCAUAUUCUGUGAGCAGGAAAGCAGGGGAUCGCAAGACCUUGCGCUGAUUGAGCGGCCGAUAUCAGAUUAGCUAGUUGGUGAGGUAAAGGCUCACCAAGGCGACGAUCUGUAGCGGGUCUGAGAGGAUGAUCCGCCACACUGGAACUGAGACACGGUCCAGACUCCUACGGGAGGCAGCAGUGGGAAUUUUGGACAAUGGCGCAAGCCUGAUCCAGCCAUGCCGCGUGAGUGAAGAAGGCCU
Molecule: ribosomal RNA, 383 nt
Filed under: uncultured bacterium
Lineage: Bacteria
Description: bacterial SSU rRNA
Rfam family: Bacterial small subunit ribosomal RNA
Source: RNAcentral